UAGAGUAUUGGAAGGUUAGGAGGAGGCAAACUCUCAGGAUCAAUGUUUUGUACAAGUUGUUUGACUGGAUGAGGAAUUGCUUUGCAUAUUUUAUUAAAUUCAGCUUUUUUGCAGGUAAUAUUAUGAAUGGAGCAGAAGUUUUCAUAUAACAGCCAGUUGCCCUGAUUAUCCAUAAGGUGGGCCAACCGUGGACAGAGAUCCUUACAAAGAAGAUAACUGGUUAAGUGAUGAACGCCAGUGUCAGGAAGCAAUAGCUCUGAUGAAGCACACAGCAGAUGAAUCGGUGGUAAAGGAGAAGAUGAAGUUAACCCUGGUCUAUCGUCAGAAGAUUUUGCAUGACCCUGACAAGUCAUCUGACAUUCUAACCAUUUUCCCACGAUUCAUGGACAUACCUGGUCUGAGUGAGCAGGAUUUUACACUUCUUUUUGGUGACUCAACCUCUGCAAAGCUGUUGGAGAAAUGGUCCACCAACAUAAAACCAAAGGUCAUUGCACAGUGCCUGAC
Molecule: long non-coding RNA, 504 nt
Organism: Neoarius graeffei (lesser salmon catfish)
Lineage: Eukaryota; Metazoa; Chordata; Actinopteri; Siluriformes; Ariidae
Exons: 3
Source: RefSeq, a predicted model, not a curated record